GCCAAGUAUCGGCAGAAGUGGCUAAGAACUACAAAAAGCUAUUUGUCAUCCAGUCUCUUACAGUUUGAUUUCUCCGCCAGGUCCUUUGUGAGGCAGUAAUGGCAGCAACAGUUUCAUGUAGUGGCAGAGGAGCAGCUUUGGUCAGAAAACCUAAAGACCUUUUGCUCAUUUUUAUUCUGUUAAAUCUUCUCUGUCCUGCAACUUCAUGGAUUGAUAAAGACAACAUGAAAGAAAUCCAAGAAAAUAUUCUGAAAAUACAACAAGAUGCAGUGAUGAGAAGAACUGACGUGAUGGUGGACAAGAUCCUCCUUCCUAGGAUCUUAGAGGGUGUUUCACAGCUAAUGGAGCCUUUGACUGAAACAAUAAUGCACAUAGUGCCAAACUUUAGGUCAAUACCUGAAUUAAUGAAGGCAAUGAAAAGCUACCUUGAUGAGAUCAAGGAACAUAUUAUAGAAUAUCUUGAAAAGGAAAUUGCCAUUACAAAAGAAUAUGAAGACAAGGCAAAACAACUGGAGAGGAUUAUAACACAACUGGCCAAAGGAAAAGCUAAUAUAUGAAUUGUAGACUAGAGCUUCUAGGGGGGAUAUUGUACAUUUUCCUGUGAAAAGUAUCAAUUUAAUAAAAUUUUGUUAUAAAUUUAAAAAGUGUAUUGAACUGUAUCAGCACAUUUACCAUCUGUUUUCUUAUUCUCUUCUAAUGUCUAUGUUACUGUAUACACAAAUAAUUGACAAUUCACAAUGCUGUGCCUUUACCAGUUAAACUGAUCUGUAAACUAUAGGCUGACUGUUCGUUGUUUUUGAUCUCAGUGAUUUAGACUAAUCUAUAAAUUGAAUUUAUCAUAUCAUCUUGUAUAGGUGUAUAUCUGUUGUGUUAAUGUGCACUAAAGAUGCUCAAUGGAUUACACAAUAAAGCUGAGCAAUG
Cyprinodon tularosa is the source of this 921-nucleotide long non-coding RNA. RefSeq lists it as uncharacterized. The record is from RefSeq and is a predicted model, not a curated record. NCBI's taxonomy places the organism in Eukaryota, Metazoa, Chordata, Actinopteri, Cyprinodontiformes, Cyprinodontidae. The transcript is spliced from 4 exons.